Molecule: small nuclear RNA, 106 nt
Filed under: Nannospalax galili (Upper Galilee mountains blind mole rat)
Lineage: Eukaryota; Metazoa; Chordata; Mammalia; Rodentia; Spalacidae
Source: RNAcentral
GUGCUGGCUUCAGCAGCACUUACACUAAAAUAAGAGGAACGCAGAGUUGGGUAGAAUGGACCUACUCUAGGAUGACAUGCAAAUUCGUGAAGCAUUCUAUGCUAAA